GAUGAAGAACGCAGCGAAAUGCGAUAAGUAAUGUGAAUUGCAGAAUUCAGUGAAUCAUCGAAUCUUUGAACGCACAUUGCGCCCCCUGGUAUUCCGGGGGGCAUGCCUGUCCGAGCGUCAUUACAACCCUCAAGCUCUGCUUGGUGUUGGGCCCCGCCGCCCCGGCGGGCCAUAAAGUCAGUGGCGGUGCCAUCCGGCUCCGAGCGUAGUAAUUCUUCUCGCUCUGGAGGUCCGGUUGUGUGCUUGCCAUCAACCCCCAAUUUUUUUCAGGUUGACCUCGGAUCAGGUAGGGAUACCCGCUGAACUUAAGCAUAUCAAUAAGCGGAGGA
Molecule: unclassified non-coding RNA, 329 nt
Filed under: soil metagenome
Description: partial contains 5.8S ribosomal RNA, internal transcribed spacer 2, and large subunit ribosomal RNA
Rfam family: 5.8S ribosomal RNA (bases 1-120)
Source: RNAcentral